UUUUCCUCUCUCUCCUAGUCUGACUCUCUCUUUCUCUUACUUUGACUUUUGAUGAGAAUGAUGACGGGGAUUGUGGGUGACUUGCAGUGGGUCUCAUAAGGGAUCUUUGGAUUUCUAUCACGCCUACAUCAAAACAUAUGCAUCAUCUCCGUAGGACCAAUGACUUACGAGGUCCUAUACGACCAAGAUCAAUACCGAUCUACACAGUUAGAGUUAGGGGAGGCCUCGAAUAUUAAUGUAAUUAAUCACACCCGUGCAAGUUCAGGUUAGAAUUUGACAGAUCCAUGUGUUCAAGACUAUGUUCAUCAAGCAGGCUUUUUUUGAAUGUUCAAAGGUGCAAUGGAUAAGGCUCGAUUGACCCGUCUUGAUAGCUUUGGUUGACCGAUGGAGACCUGAGACAAACACAUUGCACUCAUGACAAGGAGAGACAAGUAUUACUUUGCAGGAUGUAGGGGUUGUUUUUGGCCUCAAAGUAAUGAGAAUACUGUUAUGGGUACCUACGACUUUAAUUGGGUAGGAGUGUGUGAAGGUCUAUUGGGACAAGCUCCUGAUAUGAAGGGUGGCAAGGUUAAGCUCAAAUAGCUACAUCAAAAUGACAUGAAUGUACCGAUAGAGGCCACAAAUGAGAUCAUUAAGACAUAUGCUCAACAUACAUAAGGUAUAUUAUCGACACUAUUCUAAUUUCAGAUUCAACCAAGGAUUUAGUGCGCGUUAUACGGUUGCCACUUCUUAUGAAUCUUGAUAAGUAUGGAGAACUAUCAGGGGGAAUUACAGUGCUAGCCUAUCUCUAUAGGGAGUUGGCAAAAGUGGCAUUCAUGCAAAUAAGGAUUUAGUGAAGGUAUAUGGCUUGCAAGUGUCCCGAUCUUAUGCUUUGAAAUUGUCGAGAUACACAUGCCCGAUCGGGUGCUUUGAUAAUUUGGAUUGAAACAACACAUUCUAGAUCCUAUAGAAGAAGAGAGCAAAAUCCCUAAACGUGAGCAUAUCAUUAAAAUUAUGAGAUAAUUUGUCAAUCGUACAUUGAGGAUUGAGAUUUCAGCAAGAGUGCUAUAGUGAUGGAGAGAGGUGGCGUGCCAGACCUAGAUGUGUAUAUACAUUGGUAUGGGGGAUUACUUGCUGAUGGGUAUAUCAGGAGAACAAAUCACCUUCCAUAUAUAUCCGAGAGUCCAAUUGAAAGAAUGUUGGAAGAAGAACUCUAUGAGAGAAUGUUGGAUCCACAGACGGGCAAGACGGUUGGGGCGGGUCUUAGGAGCACAAGCUGUAUUUUCUAAAAUAUCGUCACCUUCCAGGGUCCAUACGUCCACGUUCUCUUGUUGUUUCUGUUCAUCAUAACCCUCUACCUCGCUUCUUGCCAAUUUGUGGCAUAGACGACUUGGUCAUGUGUUUAAUAAAAGGCUGGAGAGUCUUAUUCAGUCUGGAGUACUUGGUUCUGUAUCAUCUAGCUCUAGUAUUGAGUCAUG
Asparagus officinalis (garden asparagus) is the source of this 1457-nucleotide long non-coding RNA. RefSeq lists it as uncharacterized. Lineage: Eukaryota; Viridiplantae; Streptophyta; Magnoliopsida; Asparagales; Asparagaceae. The record is from RefSeq and is a predicted model, not a curated record. The transcript is spliced from 5 exons.